Molecule: long non-coding RNA, 2267 nt
Organism: Bos taurus (domestic cattle)
Lineage: Eukaryota; Metazoa; Chordata; Mammalia; Artiodactyla; Bovidae
Source: Ensembl
GAUUUAACAGAGUAUAUUUAUGAGAAUAACAGUACUGACAUGCAAAACAUGUUCUAUUCUUUCUGAGGAAAUAUAGAACAUUAUUUCAGUAGGUACAUCAUGAAAUAUACAAGCAGCAUUACUGAUAGCCUAGCAAACUGAGCCACCAGGGAAGCCCUCUAGCAAAAUUAUUAAAAUGGAAAAUAACUCUGGCUUUAGUCAUUUUUCUUAGAAAAUAGAUGCUUCACUUUUUUUUUUAAUGAGAUAUCUUGACAAGGGGGGAAAAGCCCAUUUUACUGCCAAAAUGAAUCGUGUCACUCAGUCACAUAACACCUUUCCUGCUGCUGCUGCUGCUGCUGCUGCUAAGUCGCUUCAGUCGUGUCCGACUCUGUGCGACCCCAUACACGGCCUCCCACCAGGCUCCCCCGUCCCUGGGAUUCUCCAGGCGAGAACACUGGAGUGGGUUGCCAUUUCCUUCUCCAAUGCAUGAAAGUGAAAAGUGAAAAUGAAGUCGCUCAGUCGUGUCCGACUCUUAGCGACGUCAUGGACUGCAGCCCACCAGGCUCCUCCAUCCAUGGGAUUGUCCAGGCAAGAGUACUGGGGUGGGGUGCCACCGCCUUCUCCGACACCUCUCCUACGUACACACAAACACAAUCUUCAGACACCUUUCUUUGAUUUCAAAAUGGAGGGGGGCGGGGCAGGCAGUUCUUCAGUUGUCUUUAGAGCUUCAAUUAAGGCAUCACGAUAUAGUGCAGUAAUUCUCGAAAAUUCAGCAGACGUUAGGACUAAUGGAAGAUUUGUUCCAAUGUAGAGAGCUGAACUUCAUCCCUAGAAUUUCUGCUGCUGUAAGUCUGAGUGGGGCUUGACUUUGAACAGUCUGCAGGCAAUACUAAUACUGCGGGUCAAACGCCCCGCCCCCGCCCCAAGCUUCACGGGCUUUGUUGAUAUCAGGUGCACCUGGCGUUGUUGAAAAAGAGCAGGCGCAAGACUCUGUUGCCCAUUUAAGAUGAUUAACACCCUGCGAACCUCACGCGAGACCUGAGUUCCUAGGUUGAAACCCCAAGCUCUUUCCCACUUGCUUGUGAGCAGACUAUCCAUCUCGGGAGUUACUGGAUGAAGGAUGUGCAGGUAGCCCUUUUAUUCAUCUUUGCCUUGAAAGUCUGGAGUAUUGAAAGAUCCUGGUCUUUGAAGCCUUCCUCCAGCACUUACCUGCUGUGUUAACUUGAAGCAAUUCCUUAACUUCUCUGAACUUCAGUUCUCAUUACGGAUGUAACAGUUUCUGCCUCACACGGUGGAUUCUUUACCAGCUGAGCCACAAGGGAAGCCCAAGAAUACUAGAGUGGGUAGCCUAUCCCUUCUCCAGAGGAUCUUCCUGACCCAGGAAUCAAACUGGGAUCUCCUACAUUGUAGCUCCCACAUCAUUUUGGAUCAGCCAGAGAAGAGAUGCUACCUGGGGUCUCCUUGCAUCCCCAGAAUCUUGGUGCCAAGUUCUAUGUAUUGGAAAAAAACAAGCAGUUAUGUGUACAAGGCACUGUGAUGUCUCAGAUGAUUUGUAAGAACUGGCUGAAGAAGCUGGUGUCCAAGGCUGUGGACACAGGAAGGAGUAAGAGCCAAGUAUUGCUGGCAGCCUCAAGAAGCUAGAAAAGGCAAGACCAUGGAUUCCCCCCAGAGUUUCCAGAAAGGAAAACAGCCCUGCUGACUCUUUGAUUUUAGCCCUGUGAGAACUGUGUCAGCUUUCCAACCUUCAUAAUUGUAAUAUAAUAAAUGUAUGCUGUUUAAUAAAUGUAAGAUAAUAAAUGUGUGCUGUUUUAAAGCCACUGGAUUUGUUGUAUUUGUUAUACCAGCUCUAGAAAACUCAUGAACUGACAGAAAACUAAUAUAAGAUGUAAAGAUCCUAAUGAAGGGCCAGGUGCACAAAGAAUUAUCAGUAAAACAAAUACAUGUUAGUCAUACAGAGUAGACAGGGAAAAGAAAGACUGAAUACUCUAAAAUUUUCAUAUGUAGCAAUUUUGUCCAGGGUUGACCCUGUGUAUGUCAUCAACAGCCUGUUCUGAAAAUCACAAUGAGAUUCACAAAGUUGGUUUUAGAACCUAAAGGGAUUCUUUCUCUUCUUUGUUUGAACCAGGGUUGUCAUGUCUAAGUAUAUCCCCAAUAGUCAUUCUGUCUGAAAGCACUUAAAAUACUGUGUUAUUCCAAAAUAUGUGUAUGUACAUUUAUAUAUUAUAUAUAUAUAUUUAUGUACACUAAUAUAAAUGUCUGGAGCUGAUGUGGCUCAGAUGGUAAAACAU